AAUCCAUAGGUUAAUGAGGCGAACCGGGGGAACUGAAACAUCUAAGUACCCCGAGGAAAAGAAAUCAACCGAGAUUCCCCCAGUAGCGGCGAGCGAACGGGGAGGAGCCCAGAGCCUGAAUCAGCAUGUGUGUUAGUGGAAGCGUCUGGAAAGGCGCGCGAUACAGGGUGACAGCCCCGUACACAAAAGCGCAUGUGCUGUGAGCUCGAUGAGUAGGGCGGGACACGUGGUAUCCUGUCUGAAUAUGGGGGGACCAUCCUCCAAGGCUAAAUACUCCUGACUGACCGAUAGUGAACCAGUACCGUGAGGGAAAGGCGAAAAGAACCCCGGCGAGGGGAGUGAAAAAGAACCUGAAACCGUGUACGUACAAGCAGUGGGAGCACCCUUUGGGUGUGACUGCGUACCUUUUGUAUAAUGGGUCAGCGACUUAUAUUCUGUAGCAAGGUUAACCGAAUAGGGGAGCCGGAGGGAAACCGAGUCUUAACCGGGCGUUAAGUUGCAGGGUAUAGACCCGAAACCCGGUGAUCUAGCCAUGGGCAGGUUGAAGGUUGGGUAACACUAACUGGAGGACCGAACCGACUAAUGUUGAAAAAUUAGCGGAUGACCUGUGGCUGGGGGUGAAAGGCCAAUCAAACCGGGAGAUAGCUGGUUCUCCCCGAAAGCUAUUUAGGUAGCGCCUCGUGAAUUCAUCUCCGGGGGUAGAGCACUGUUUCGGCUAGGGGGCCAUCCCGGCUUACCAACCCGAUGCAAACUGCGAAUACCGGAGAAUGUUAUCACGGGAGACACACGGCGGGUGCUAACGUCCGUCGUGAAGAGGGAAACAACCCAGACCGCCAGCUAAGGUCCCAAAGUCAUGGUUAAGUGGGAAACGAUGUGGGAAGGCCCAGACAGCCAGGAUGUUGGCUUAGAAGCAGCCAUCAUUUAAAGAAAGCGUAAUAGCUCACUGGUCGAGUCGGCCUGCGCGGAAGAUGUAACGGGGCUAAACCAUGCACCGAAGCUGCGGCAGCGACACUGUGUGUUGUUGGGUAGGGGAGCGUUCUGUAAGCCUGUGAAGGUGUGUCGUGAGGCAUGCUGGAGGUAUCAGAAGUGCGAAUGCUGACAUAAGUAACGAUAAAGCGGGUGAAAAGCCCGCUCGCCGGAAGACCAAGGGUUCCUGUCCAACGUUAAUCGGGGCAGGGUGAGUCGACCCCUAAGGCGAGGCCGAAAGGCGUAGUCGAUGGGAAACGGGUUAAUAUUCCCGUACUUGGUGUUACUGCGAAGGGGGGACGGAGAAGGCUAUGUUGGCCGGGCGACGGUUGUCCCGGUUUAAGCGUGUAGGUGUGUGUUCCAGGUAAAUCCGGUUCACUUUAACACUGAGGCGUGACGACGAGGCACUACGGUGCUGAAGCAACAAAUGCCCUGCUUCCAGGAAAAGCCUCUAAGCAUCAGGUAACAUCAAAUCGUACCCCAAACCGACACAGGUGGUCAGGUAGAGAAUACCAAGGCGCUUGAGAGAACUCGGGUGAAGGAACUAGGCAAAAUGGUGCCGUAACUUCGGGAGAAGGCACGCUGACACGUAGGUGAAGUGAUUUACUCAUGGAGCUGAAGUCAGUCGAAGAUACCAGCUGGCUGCAACUGUUUAUUAAAAACACAGCACUGUGCAAACACGAAAGUGGACGUAUACGGUGUGACGCCUGCCCGGUGCCGG
Molecule: ribosomal RNA, 1687 nt
Filed under: Salmonella enterica
Lineage: Bacteria; Pseudomonadati; Pseudomonadota; Gammaproteobacteria; Enterobacterales; Enterobacteriaceae
Also listed under: 1 other name
Description: partial 23S ribosomal RNA
Rfam family: Bacterial large subunit ribosomal RNA
Source: RNAcentral